Molecule: ribosomal RNA, 440 nt
Filed under: uncultured bacterium
Lineage: Bacteria
Description: partial 16S ribosomal RNA
Rfam family: Bacterial small subunit ribosomal RNA
Source: RNAcentral
CCUACGGGAGGCAGCAGUAGGGAAUCUUCCACAAUGGACGAAAGUCUGAUGGAGCAACGCCGCGUGAGUGAAGAAGUAUUUCGGUAUGUAAAGCUCUAUCAGCAGGGAAGAAGAUGACGGUACCUGACCAAGAAGCCCCGGCUAACUACGUGCCAGCAGCCGCGGUAAUACGUAGGGGGCAAGCGUUAUCCGGAUUUACUGGGUGUAAAGGGGGCGCAGACGGCAAUGCAAGCCAGGAGUGAAAGCCCGGGGCCCAACCCCGGGACUGCUCUUGGAACUGCAUGGCUGGAGUACAGGAGGGGCAGGCGGAAUUCCUAGUGUAGCGGUGAAAUGCGUAGAUAUUAGGAGGAACACCGGUGGCGAAGGCGGCCUGCUGGACUGUGACUGACGUUGAGGCCCGAAGGCGUGGGGAGCAAACAGGAUUAGAUACCCUUGUAGUC